Molecule: long non-coding RNA, 1251 nt
Filed under: Salmo salar (Atlantic salmon)
Lineage: Eukaryota; Metazoa; Chordata; Actinopteri; Salmoniformes; Salmonidae
Description: lncRNA (ENSSSAG00000084394.1)
Source: RNAcentral
CCUGGCUACAAAGGGAUUGGAUAUGCUCGAUCCCGCGAGCACACCGUUCCUUCUUUUUCUCCUUGAAUGAAUACGCUAUUGUCCGGUUGGAAUAUUAUCGCAAUUUUAUGUUAAAAAUACCAUAAAGAUUGAUUUUAAACAGCGUUUGACAUGCUUCUAAGUACGGAGGACCUGAGCCCUAGGACCAUGCCUCAGGACUACCUGGCAUGAUGACUCCUUGCUGUCCCCAGUCCACCUGGCCAUGCUGCUGCUCCAGUUUCAACUGUUCUGCCUGCGGCUAUGGAACCCUGACCUGUUCAACGGACGUGCUACCUGUCCCAGACCUGCUGUUUUCAACUCUCUAGAGACAGCAGGAGCGGUAGAGAUACUCUCAAUGAUCGGCUAUGAAAAGCCAACUGACAUUUACUCUUGAGGUGCUGACUUGUUGCACCCUCGACAACUACUGUGAUUAUUAUUAUUUGACCAUGCUGGUCAUUUAUGAACAUUUGAACAUCUUGGCCAUGUUCUGUUACCCGGCACAGCCAGAAGAGGACUGGCCAACCCUCAGAGCCUGGUUCCUCUCUAGGUUUCUUCCUAGGUUUUGGCCUUUCUGGGGUGUGUUUCCUAGCCACCGUGCUUCUACACCUGCAUUGCUUGCUGUUUGGGGUUUUAGGCUGGGUUUCUGUACAGCACUUUGAGAUAUCAUCUGAUGUAAGAAGGGCUAUAUAAAUACAUUUGAUUUGAUUUUGAUUUGAUCAAGUUUGCAGAUGACACAAGAGUAGUAGGCCUGAUUACCAACAAUGACUAGACAGCCUACAGGGAGGAGGUGAGGGCCCUGGCGGAGUUGUGCCAGGAAAAUAAUCUCUCCCUCAACGUCAAGAAAAUGAAGGAGCUGAUCAUGGACUUCAGGAAACAGCAGAGGGAGCACGCCCCUAUCCACAUCAACGGGACCACAGUGGAGAAGGUGGAAAGCUUCAAGUUCCUCGGUGUACACAUCACUGACAAUCUGAAAUGGUCCACCCACAUAGACAGUGUGGUGAAGUAGGCGCAACAGCGCCUCUUCAAUCUCAGGAGGCUGAAGAGAUUUGCUUUGGCCCCUAAGACCUUCACAAACUUUUACAGAUGCACAAUUGAGAGGUACGACAACUUCACCGCCCGCAACCGCAGUGCUCUCCAGAGGGUGGUGCUGUCUGCCCAACACAUCACCGGGGGCACACUACCUGCAGCAUCCGAUAUCACAGGAAGGCCAAAAAGAUCAUCAAGGAUAUCGAC